AAUGAUGAUACCUCAUAAUAUUUUGAAGGGAUGUAAGGAAAUAAAAUCAUGGUUAAUAGGAUUAUACU
Molecule: small nucleolar RNA, 68 nt
Organism: Nannospalax galili (Upper Galilee mountains blind mole rat)
Lineage: Eukaryota; Metazoa; Chordata; Mammalia; Rodentia; Spalacidae
Product: small nucleolar RNA SNORD115
Exons: 1
Source: RefSeq, a predicted model, not a curated record